RNAcentral lists this long non-coding RNA (3548 nucleotides) under Lactuca sativa (garden lettuce). RNAcentral's name for it is "long non-coding RNA (LSAT_LNC002532)". The record is from RNAcentral. Lineage: Eukaryota; Viridiplantae; Streptophyta; Magnoliopsida; Asterales; Asteraceae.
AUACAGAAAGUAUUAUGUUGUUGUAUUCAAACGUUUAAAAAAAUGUUUUUUAAUGUUCUAAUUUUUCCUUAUUAGAGAUUGUACAUUGAAAAAUAACCCAAAACUUUGACUUACUUUGGAAUUCAUAGUUAUUCAUUUAAUUUUGAAUAUGUUUCUGAAAUAUGUUUUUCGUUUAAUAGCAACCUAAAUUAAUGCAAUGUAAACUUAUAUAAUUUUUCGUUUAAUAGCAUCAUACUUCCUAUUUAUGUCAUAUUAUGUGUAUUUUUGUUGUAAAUAAAAAGUACGUUGGUAUGAAUUUUCUAUUUUUGGAACUUACAGUGACAUACUAUAUCAUUUUACAUGAAUGGCCCCCGUAAUUUCAAAGUUAAGAUAAUUGGCCCAUUUUUCCCUAAUAAGACAUAAGUGACAACCUGCUUUUCAUUUAUGGCAACCUACUUUCGUUUAAUAGCAUCCUACUUUCUUUUAAGGUAAAGUUAUAACAUCACUCCAUUUAUGUAGUAUAAUAACAACCUACUUUCAUUUAAUAACACCCUAUUUUUCAUAUAAAUUAAAAUUUCUAUAGUGUAAUGCCUUAUUUAAAAAGUACAUCAAACUACAUAAUGUUUACGAAAGUAUAUUCACAUAAUAAUACUUAUUAUGUAUUUGUAUUGCUCUAUUUUACUUAAAUUUACAUAAAUACCCUUUUAUUGCAAAUUAAUUGUUUUAAAUUUCUUAAGUUGUCUAUACUACAAUGCCUAUAUUAUGGCAUAUUACUUUUCACUUUUUUUUUUUUGUCUAAUAGCGGCCUACUUUUCAUUUAAUAGCAUUCUACUUUUAAUUUAUCUUAAAAUCUAUAUAGUAUUCCCCUUUUUUACCACUCAUAUUAAGUUUAUACAAAAAGAAGUUUCAUUAGAAAAACAUAAAUAAAUUAGAUGAAAGGGUUGAACAAUAUUGAGAUAAUGAACAAACUGCACCAGAGGCUAAAUUAUCCUCAAAAUGAAGCAAACAACUACACUAUGGAAUUAAAAAAGAAACAUAUUUAGCUAAAAGUGCAUUGAUGUUAUUAGCAAAAAUAAAUAAAUUAUGUUGGUUCUUAGUCUAUUUUUACCACUAAAACACUAAAACAUUGGUUUUAUAUAAAUCACCAUUUUACCCAUAUCAGAUGCGAAACAAAAAGUGCCUUGUUAUUAGUAAAAAAAAUUAUAUUGGAAAAAUUGAAAGGGAUAAAAUGGUCAUUUAUUUCAUAAAAAGUUCCACUAUUAUAAAACAUAACAUUGUAUGUUCAAUUUAUAUUUGAUAGUGCAUUGGCAUAACAAAUAAAUUAGAAUGAAAUAGUUUAACUAUAUAGAGAUAAUGAACAAAUUGCAUCAGAGGCUAAAUCAUUGUCAAAAUGAGGCGAAGACAUGUCAUGAAUAUUGAAAAAAAUAAAUUAGUGAGAAAGGUUAUCUUUUGAAUGAAGAAAAUUGCAGAAUUUACUCUGUAAAAGCAUAAAGUUACAGAAAUUACCCUCUUAAUGUAGAAAAUAACAAAUAUUAUACUUUAAAUGCUGAUAAUUACAUAAAUUACCGUUUUAAUGCAUAAAACUACAAUUAAAUCCCUUUGAAUGCAGACAUUGGCAUUUUAGUGCAGAAAACUAUUGAAAAAUCCCUUUUAUUGCAAAAAAUAGAAAAAUUACCCUUUUAAUGCAGGAAAAUCCCUUUAACUGCCUAAACUUAAAGAUAUAGACAAUUUCCAAUCCAAAAACUGUAAAAUGCAAUUGUACUUUCCUGUUUGUAUCAAUACAACCAAGGUAUAUGCCAGUAGCUUUUAUAAAUCAUCUUAUAAUUUAUUUAAUGAAAAACAAGUAGACAUAUCAACAAAAUGAGAACUGCAUAACUUAUAACCAAAAGAUAUUAUAACAACAUAUUUGUAAAAUAUAAUAAAAAAAACAUUCAAAACUAAAUAUUAUAACAACAUAUUUGAUUCAAAAGUAUAUACAUAGGUCUCAAAUAUGAUUAUUAAAUCUAAUUAGAAGUUUAUUGCAUUAUUUUUUUGGUCUGAAUUAAAAAAUGAUGAUUAGAUAUGAAGAUUAGAUAUCCAAAACUAUUAACGAAUGUUACGUUUGCAGAUUGGUCAUCUCGACUUAAAAAAUGAAAAUGACAUGCUAUAGUUGUCUUAAAAUAAAGUAACAUGCUCUUUUUGGCUUAAAAAUGAAUCUAACAUGCUAUUUUUGGCUUAAAAGUGAAAGUAGUAUGCUUACUUAAUAACUUAACAACUUCUUCAAAACCAUGUCUACUUAAUAACUUCUAGUAUCAUUACAAACUUCAAAAAAAUAUUUUCUUAAUAAUCUCUUUUCAAUCUCCAAAAAUAGAAUUUCAAAAUAAUUAGAAAGAUUUGCUAGUUAGUGGAACCCCAUUUGGUUGACAGAAGGAUAGGGUUAAUAACUUCUAGUGCUGAAAACCUAUUAAAAUUGAUUUUAAACUAUAUAUCCAUAAAGAAAAAGUUAAUAAAAUAAAUAAAUGAAACAUGCAUCAAGUUCACAUGAGACAAAAAAAUAAAUACAACAGUUUAUAAUUAAGGAUAAACAGGAAAUUAACUUAACUGGAAUGACAUUCACUUCAAUUUUGUUGUCGAAUAAAAUCCAUAUCCUCUCGAAGUUAAUCCAUUACAUACUUUAUAAUUAAAUCAAUAACCAAAAGCAAAUAUCUUUGUUAAAUAAGUCAACGUAAAAAUUCAUUUGUUUGCAAUUUUUAUGGUGAAAGAAGAACAAAGGGAAAAACAAAAAAUUCAAUUUGGAAAGAAAAAAUCAGAAUAAGAAACAUAAAAAAUAUUGAUUAAACGAUCGAAGUGAAAAGAUUUUAACCUAAAUAUCCUCAUUUCCCAAUAAAAAUAUCAACCAUAUCUCAUAACAUGUAUGAAAUUGAUUGCGAAGAACACUCCAAAUAUGCUUAUCAAAGAUCAAACUAAUGACAUGAUUGGGGACAGACCUAUGAUGCUACUUGAUCCCUGCUUCUCAAAACAUAUUCAACAUUAGUGGGUUGGCAUAUGAAUUAAAAAUUGUAAUUUGGCUAAUACAUACCAUAAAAGGAGGCUCGAAGAUGUAGAUCCCUUUAGAAAUUGCAAUUCCAUGGAUAUUGCUGCCAUAAUAGAUUCUUUGAAACCAGAAUAAAGAAAAUGAUACUUUACGAUCUUAAUACUCCUCGAAUUAAACUGUAUCAGAAGAAAUCGAGAGAGUAGCAAUAUAGGAUUGGGAUAAUUAAAGCAUCAUAGAUGGAUUAAAUCCUUGUAUUAUUUCUUUCGAUUUUCUUUCAAAAAACAAAAGCAAGAUUAAAUAGGAAAAAUAACAAAAGAAAAGAAAUAGAAAAGGAAAAGGAGAGAGAGAGAGAGAGAGAGAGAGAGAGAGACUACCUGAAGAGUUGAAAUUUUAUGAGAAUGAAUGUAUAUAUGAAGCUGAGAUAAUGUGUAUUUAAUUUUAAAUAAAAUUUGAUUCCUAGUUUUCUGGGAUUGGGUUGAAUAUAUAGAUAAUUUUAGAGUAAAUUUAGGAGCCCGAAUGAAAUUGAAAUUAGAAAACAAUAAAAUCAUCUUAUCAA